UACGUAGGUGGCAAGCGUUGUCCGGAUUUACUGGGCGUAAAGAGCGCGCAGGCGGUCGUUCAAGUCGCGUGUGAAAGCCCCCGGCUCAACUGGGGAGGGUCACGCGAUACUGAUCGACUGGAAGGCAGGAGAGGGUAGUGGAAUUCCCGGUGUAGUGGUGAAAUGCGUAGAUAUCGGGAGGAGCACCAGUGGCGAAGGCGACUACCUGGCCUGUUCUUGACGCUGAGGCGCGAAAGCUAGGGGAGCAAACGGG
This 253-nucleotide ribosomal RNA is filed under the name uncultured bacterium. Its description in RNAcentral is "partial 16S ribosomal RNA". It matches the Rfam family "Bacterial small subunit ribosomal RNA", at positions 524 to 776 of the family's 1533-position model. The record is from RNAcentral.